This 492-nucleotide ribosomal RNA is filed under the name uncultured bacterium. RNAcentral describes it as "partial 16S ribosomal RNA". It matches the Rfam family "Bacterial small subunit ribosomal RNA", at positions 29 to 507 of the family's 1533-position model. The record is from RNAcentral.
AGUGAACGCUGGCGGUAGGCCUAACACAUGCCAGUCGAACGGCAGCACAGUAAGAGCUUGCUCUUACGGGUGGCGAGUGGCGGACGGGUGAGGAAUACAUCGGAAUCUACUUUUUCGUGGGGGAUAACGUAGGGAAACUUACGCUAAUACCGCAUACGACCUACGGGUGAAAGCAGGGGAUCUUCGGACCUUGCGCGAUUGAAUGAGCCGAUGUCGGAUUAGCUAGUUGGCGGGGUAAAGGCCCACCAAGGCGACGAUCCGUAGCUGGUCCGAGAGGAUGAUCAGCCACACUGGAACUGAGACACGGUCCAGACUCCUACGGGAGGCAGCAGUGGGGAAUAUUGGACAAUGGGCGCAAGCCUGAUCCAGCCAUACCGCGUGGGUGAAGAAGGCCUUCGGGUUGUAAAGCCCUUUUGUUGGGAAAGAAAAGCAGCAGGUUAAUACCCCGCUGUUCUGACGGUACCCAAAGGAUAAGCACCGGCUAACUUCGUG